RNAcentral lists this ribosomal RNA (309 nucleotides) under Triticum aestivum (bread wheat). RNAcentral describes it as "partial small subunit ribosomal RNA". The record is from RNAcentral. Lineage: Eukaryota; Viridiplantae; Streptophyta; Magnoliopsida; Poales; Poaceae.
AUGGAUAGCAUGUGUACACUGCCUGCCGUGUCGCCCUAUCAAAAGGCGCCCUGGACGGUGGACAUGCAUAUGCAGCAUGGCCCAUCUCCUUUCGCACUCUCUUUGCCCUUCUCCCCCGAUCUAUUUGGGCCCCGACAUGGGCCACGCAGGCUACUGUUGUUUCUCCUCAAGCCACGGCUGGCUGCUGAUCUAUUUGAGCCUUUAGGGGACAGCUGCAAUCAUGCGUGUCUCUGCCUGGUCUGUAUUCCCAUGGCACUAAUACUAGAUAGUAGUAGUAGUAGCUUAUUACAGCUAAGAGCGCGUCCAUGA